This 368-nucleotide ribosomal RNA is filed under the name Androctonus mauritanicus. RNAcentral's name for it is "partial 16S ribosomal RNA". Lineage: Eukaryota; Metazoa; Arthropoda; Arachnida; Scorpiones; Buthidae. The record is from RNAcentral.
UCAUAAUCAUUAGUCUUUUAAUUUGAGACUGGUAUGAAAGAGUAAACCAGGAGAACAUUUUUUCAACUGAAAGAAUAAAUUUUACUUUUUAGUAAGAAGGCUAAAAUUUAGCUUUUAGACAAGAAGACCCUAUAAAACUUUAUAUUUUUACUUCCUUUGAUGAAAGAAGAAAUAUUUAACUGGGGCGGUGGAGAAAAAAGCUUUCUUUAUAAAGAAAGACAAACAUGUUUUAAUACCUAGAAAUUCUAAAGAAGGAAUAAGUUACUUUAGGGAUAACAGCUUAAUUUACUUAGAAAGAUCAAAUUGACAAGUAAGUUUAUGACCUCGAUGUUGAAUUAAAAGUCCUUUUUUGUGCAAAAGCUUUAAAA